This is a small nucleolar RNA of Ornithorhynchus anatinus (platypus), 138 nucleotides long. The record is from RefSeq and is a predicted model, not a curated record. NCBI's taxonomy places the organism in Eukaryota, Metazoa, Chordata, Mammalia, Monotremata, Ornithorhynchidae.
CUCCUCUCAGGAUUACAUCUGGAGAGUUUCCAGCACUCUACCAGUCUUGACUAUGGGAGGGAGAGUCAAGUAGAGGGAUACCCAUUCCAUUCCUAGCUUGGGCGGUGGCUAACAAGUGGAAGGCAAUCUGCUACAAGU